GGUGGUGGGUUCCAGCCCCAUGUUGGGUACAAGGUUCCUGCAUUGCAGGGAGUUGGACUAGAUGACUCUUGUGGUCCCUUUCCAAUUAUAUUGACUCCCAAGUACUUUUUCAUGCAGCAUAGUUACAGAACUCACUCCCAAAGGAGCCAUUGAUGGGAACCAACUUGGAUGGCUUUAAAAUAGGAAUAGACAAAGUGAUGGAGAAGUUUAUUGAUGGCUACUAGCCACAGCGAUGCUUCUGAAUGCCAGUUGCUGGAAACCACAGGAGGAGAGAACUGGUCCACAGGAGGGGAGAUCUGGGUGGCUACUGUGAGAAGAUGCUGGAAUGGCAAAUGCCUAGCAGUAGAUGGAUGUUAACUUGAGAGCCACUUUUCUCCUGCUGAAAUACUUGAACAACAUCAGUAGCGCAAGUUGCCAUUUCACAACCACUGUCAAGUUACUAUAAAUCCCAUUCCAAACCAA
Long non-coding RNA from Lacerta agilis (Sand lizard), 462 nucleotides. RefSeq lists it as uncharacterized. The transcript is spliced from 2 exons. NCBI's taxonomy places the organism in Eukaryota, Metazoa, Chordata, Lepidosauria, Squamata, Lacertidae. The record is from RefSeq and is a predicted model, not a curated record.